GAAAUGCGAUAAGUAAUGUGAAUUGCAGAAUUCCGUGAAUCAUCGAAUCUUUGAACGCACAUUGCGCCCUCUUGUAUUCCGGGGGGCAUGCCUGUCCGAGCGUCAUUGCGAACCCCUCAAGCACGGCUUGUGUGAUGGGCCCUCCCGCGUCUUGGUCGUCAAGACGGGCCCGAAAUGCAGUGGCGGCUUCGCGGUUAUCCGAUCAGCCAGAGCGUAUGGGGACUUUCUCUCUGUCACACGCCCGCGGCGCGGACCGACGCCUGUCGACCUUUAUUCAUCUUUUUCUCGGUUGACCUCGGAUCAGGUAGGGAUACCCGCUGAACUUAAGC
This 329-nucleotide unclassified non-coding RNA is filed under the name plant metagenome. Its description in RNAcentral is "partial contains 5.8S ribosomal RNA, internal transcribed spacer 2, and large subunit ribosomal RNA". The stretch from base 1 to 105 matches the Rfam family "5.8S ribosomal RNA", at positions 50 to 154 of the family's 154-position model. The record is from RNAcentral.